This is a long non-coding RNA of Drosophila rhopaloa, 1086 nucleotides long. RefSeq lists it as uncharacterized. The transcript has 3 exons. The record is from RefSeq and is a predicted model, not a curated record. NCBI's taxonomy places the organism in Eukaryota, Metazoa, Arthropoda, Insecta, Diptera, Drosophilidae.
CUUGAUAAUAAUACUAUAAUUUUCUUGCAUGAUUAAUUUAAGGUUUAUAAUUCCAGUUAUUGACGUCUCCGUGAAUAAAAUAGUAAAGUCAUCAUCAUACUUUAAUUUAAUAAAUAAAUAAAUGUAUAUACGGCUUUAUAUAAAUGGUUUAAUAAAACAAAUUAAAUAAUGUUUUAAAGUAAUCGAAAUACAUUAAUACAACUAAAUUCAAUAUUGGACUGCAUGGGAAAUUUCGGUACCAAAAAAGACAAAUUCUCAACCACUGUGUGCUAGUAUGCCUUGAAGAAAAUCCUUGUUGAAUAUUUAUUUGUAUUCCACCGCCUUCAGUUUUAAACUGAAAAAUAAUCAGCCAAACAUAAAAGAUGCCUAGAUAGAAUCCAUGGUUUGUCUUACCAAGUUUUAUUUCUCAUGUGUAAACUUAAUUUACUGAGAGACUAUGCUUCAAAGCUGUAUGUUAGUAUGCCUUAAGAAAAAUGUAAGUUUAGCUAAAAAAGUCAAAUAUAAAUAUAUGUAUAUUAAUUUAAUUUUCUUGUAGCUAGACCUUGUUACAUUUUUUUUUUUAAUCGAACGACUUCAGUUUUAAAAUGAAAAAUAAUCAGCCAAUAAUAGAAGAAUAUCCAUUUAAAAGUCAUGGUUCGUGUUACCCAACAUAUGCUAAUAAUGUAAUUCCCAUAUAUAAAGUUAAUUUAAUUAUAUGGGUCCCGGAAUUCCGUCAUUUACUUUUGUUUCUCCUAGCAUAAUUAAUUUUAACUAUAUUUUUGUAUUUUUACAACCCAAGCGAAGACAAGUUUAUAACUGCUGUGUUUUUAUUGUCUACAUUUUCCCAAAAAAUAGUAUAUAAUUUUCGUUUUAAAUAUUUUUAUAUUCGAAAUUUUAUUAUUUAGUUUAGUUUAUUUAAAAUAUCUGAAGUCUUUGGAGAAAUGUGCGAUCACAGAUGCAGCAGCCGAGAGAGUAUGAGUAUUAAGAUCUAAGCUGCGCAGCUAAUACUUGGACUCUCUCGGCUUGCAUUCUAAAUUUGCACAGAAUUUGUUUUCGAAGUUCUUGCUUUUUUUCUUUUAUUUAUUUAUUAUGUUUAUUUAUACAACA